GUGCUCACUUUGGCAGCACAUAUACUAAAACUAAGACAAUACAAAGAAGCUUAGCAUGGCCCCUAUGCAAGGCUGACAUACAAAUUUGGGAGAAUUCCAUAUUUUU
Molecule: small nuclear RNA, 106 nt
Organism: Dipodomys ordii (Ord's kangaroo rat)
Lineage: Eukaryota; Metazoa; Chordata; Mammalia; Rodentia; Heteromyidae
Source: Ensembl